UUGAAAGGGAAACGAUUGAAGUCAGUCGUACCAGCGGGAAAUCAACCUUUCGAGUGGGGGUUUUGGAGUUUUGAAGAGUUUCAAAACCUUUGAGAUUUCAAAAAUUUCGCUCUUUUGGUGUACUUUCUCGUGGGUAGGUUAACAUCGAUUUUGAUCAUCAUAAAAAGAUUGGAGGAAUGUAGCUUCGAUCUUGUAUUGAAGUGUUAUAGCCUUUGGUAAAUGUGAUGAUUAGGAUCGAGGAUUGCAACGAAUACCCUUUUGGGCUAUCCGCCUGAUCUCUGAUACGUGGCCUUGGUAUAGAAAGCUUGCUUAUGGUAUUGAGGUAUUACGGUCAAAAGGUUAGAACGGAUUACAUUCGUUAAGGAUGUUGACGUA
RNAcentral lists this ribosomal RNA (375 nucleotides) under uncultured Glomeromycotina. RNAcentral describes it as "LSU rRNA". The record is from RNAcentral. Lineage: Eukaryota; Fungi; Glomeromycota.